RNAcentral lists this long non-coding RNA (3845 nucleotides) under Triticum aestivum (bread wheat). Its description in RNAcentral is "long non-coding RNA (TAES_LNC020551)". Lineage: Eukaryota; Viridiplantae; Streptophyta; Magnoliopsida; Poales; Poaceae. The record is from RNAcentral.
AUCCAUCCACCGAAUCCCCCAGCCGCCGCCCGACAACCUUCCUCUUUUUCCUCGCGCAGCCAGUCAACUCCCUGCUUUCUUCCUUGGGAUCCUCCCAGAUCCAAAAAUCCCUUCCUCGUUUUCAGAUCCACCCAAUCCCUCCAUCGAUCCAACCAUAGCCCUCCGCUGCUCUGCUUCCCCUCGAUCCACCCGAGCUCCUCCUCUUGCGCCUCUGUGCUCGAUCCCCCUCGUCCUCGCCACUCCUUCGCAUGCGGCAAGCCGCCGCAGCACCAGAGCUCCCUCCGCCGUCGAGCACCACUAGCAGAUUAGCCUCGCGCCGCCCUUCCUCCCUUUCCCUCGCUCUUAUCUCUCCCUCACAUCUGGCUCCCUCUCUUUUUCCCUCGCAGAAGCCCGCCAUGGCGUACAGGAGGCUUCAGGCACCAGCAGCUCCAGUUCCGCGUCGGCUCCACCAUGGGAAUGGAUGGAUACGUCGUCUUUGACCUGAGGACCUCCUCAUACGUGCCUCUCCAUCAUCAUCUCCGCCACCAGAACGCACGGUAGCAACCUCCUGCCAUCGUCCGUCCUCACCGGUUUGAGCAGCCGGCGCAUCCGCCAUCGCUCGCUCGCUCUGCCGCCUACCGGAGCUCGCCUCCACCGACAGCAGCACCUCCCUUCGCCAAGUGCCGCCGUGACCCCGUCAUUUUCCAUCCCUGCCGAACCUGCUGUCGUCCCUGCCGCCAAGCUCUUCGCUUGCAGGGACGCACGGCGCGCCCGUUGACUGCUUGCUGGUCGGCACCCUCCUUCGCGCGUAGCACCGCGCCAGACGCUGAUCGCCUCUGCCCGGUUCCCCGCCACCAAGUCCAGCUCAGUGCCGCCGCGAGCCACCUUCUUCCUUGGAUCCUCGCCGCCCCAUCGCCCUGUUCGCCUCCUCUGCUUCGUUCGAGCAGGGAGGACGACGCAUGCUCCCUUCAUUGACCGCUUCCACUCCAGGAGCUGGGCCACCUCCCCUCGGCUCGUUGACCGACUUCCCAGAUCCGCGCCUGGGCCGCUUCUUGCAGCGAGGCCAAGAUCGACCGCGGCCCAGCCAGCGCCCUGCCGGCCCAGCCUCCCCUCCAGCCGCGGUGCUUCUGGCCUAUUGGGCCCAAUGUGAGCAGCACAACAGUUUCAGCUCACUCUUGUUUUUUUCCUCCAGCAUUUUUGCUAAUAACCAGUGUAUUACCGGUUUUUACAGAAAAACCCCUAGUCUUCAUGCAUAUAAUAACUUAUGAAUAAUGCUUCAUAUGUAAUAACCUUAUAUUUGAAACUUGACUAGAAUUUCAUCUAGUUUCAUAAUAUGUCAUUUCCAUCCAUGUUUAAAAUGCUUAAAAUGUUGUUUGUUAAAUUUGCUCAAAUAACUUGUUAAAAUGUUUUAAUUCAUAACUAAAUAGCCGUAUCUCGGUUUCUAAUAAAUUUUAUAUGUAAAUGGGGUGGGAAAAUGCCUAGUUUAUCAUGGUGUAUUUGUUUUGCAUGUUUAACAACCCUAAAAUUGUGUUUAGAACAGAUCAGUACCAAAUCUAUAAUAUGCUCAUGAGGAGUUUCCGGACUUGUUGUUCGUUGUUUCCGGCCUCAUUUAAACUUGCCUAGAUAGGUAGUUUUGUUGUGCUUCACCUCUUGCCAUGCUAACAACAUUUAAUCUUGUUGGCUACCUAAACGAGAGAGAACUAAAUAAGUCAUGUGGUGUUUUCUUCAAUAUGCAACUCCGUUGCAUAUUGAGCUUGACUUAAUUUGUAGGGUUGCUUGUGCACCUUGCCAUGCCAUGCUUCAUUAAACCGGACAUGCAUCAUACUUGAUUGUGCAUCAUGCCAUGUUUAUGUGGUGGCUGUUUACCAUGAUUGUUUGCUUCUUUCCGGUGUUGCUUCUUCAGGUUGGUUCCGAUAACGUCACAUUUGUGAGGACCCUUUUGACUACGUCCGUUUGUCUUCUUCAUGGACUCAUUCUUCUUCCUAUCGGGAUUUCAGGCAAGAUGAUCAUACCCUCGAAAUCACUUCUAUCUUUGCUUGCUAGAUGCUCGCUCUUUUGCUAUGCCUAUGCUGCGAUACCUACCACUUUCUUAUCAUGCCUCCUAUAUUUUUGAACCAAGCCCCUAAACCACCUUGUCCUAGCAAACCGUUGAUUGGCUAUGUUACCGCUUUGCUCAGCCCCCCUUAUAGCAUUGUUAGUUGCAGGUGAAGAUUGAAGUUUUGUUCCUUGUUGGAACAUGUUUUACUUGUUGGGAUAUCACAAUAUAUCUUAUUUAAUUAAUGCAUCUAUAUACUUGGUAAAGGGUGGAAGGCUCGGCCUUAUGCCUGGUGUUUUGUUCCACUCUUGCCGCCCUAGUUUCCGUCAUAUCACUGUUAUGUUCCCGGAUUUUGUGUUCCUUACGCGGUUGGGUAAUAAUGGGAACCCCUUGACAGUUCGCCCUGAAUAAAACUCUUCCAGCAAUGCCCAACAUUGGUUUUACCAUUCGCCACCUAGCCUUUUCCUUUCCCUUGGGGGUCACGCGCCCAAGGGUCAUCAUUAUUUUAACCCCCCGGGACAGUGCUCCUCUGAGUGUUGGUCCAAAACAGAGCCACUUGCAGCGCCACCUCGGGGCAACUCGAGGUUUGGUUUUAGUUGUACGUAGUGUUCAUCCGGUGUGCCCCGAGAACGAGAUAUGUGCAGCUCCUAUCGGGAUUUGUCGGCACAUUCGGGCGGUGUUGCUGAACUUGUUUUACCAUUGUCGAAAUGUCUUGUAACUGGGAUUCCGAGUCUGAUCGGGUCUUCCCGCUAGAAGGAAUAUCCUUCGUUGACCGUGAGAGCUUGUGAUGGGCUAAGUUGGGACACCCCUGCAGGGUUUUGAACUUUCGAAAGCCAUGCCCGCGGUUAUGGGCAGAUGGGAAUUUGUUAACGUCCGGUUGUAGAAAAACGGAAGUUGACCUUAAUUAAAAAUGCAUCAACCGUGUGUGUAACCGUGAUGGUCUCUUUCCGGCGGAGUCCGGGAAGUGAACACGGUGUUGGAGUAAUGCUUGAUGUAGGUUGUUCUAGGAUCACUUCUUGAUCAUAGUUUCUCGAUCGUGCUUUGCCUUCUCUUCUCGCUCUCUUUUGCGAAUAGGUUAGCCACCAUAGAUGCUAGUCGCUUACUGCAGCUCCACCUCAUACCUUUACCUUACCUAUAAGCUUAAAUAAUCUUGAUCAUGAGGGUGCGAGAUUGCUGAGUCCCCGUGGCUCACAGAUUACUUCAAAAACCAGUUUGCAGGUGCCGAUGAGUCCGUGCAGAUGACACAACCAAGCUCAAGGAGGAGCUCGAUGAAGAUCUUGUCCUUUGUGUUGUUUCGUUCUAGUUGAUCAGUAGUGGAGCCCAGUUGGGGUCGAUUGGGGACCUUGUCGCGUUUGGGGUUCUUCUUUUAUGUUGGUUCCGUUGUCGGACCUUGAUUGUAUUUGAUUGUUGUAAUGCUUUAUUCAUGAAAUUGUGUGAAGUGGCGAUUGUAAGCCAACUAUGUAUCUUUUCCCUUAUUGUAUUACAUGGGUUGUUUGCGAAGAUUACCUCACUUGCAGCAUUGCUUUCAAUGUGGUUAUGCCUCUAAGUCGUGCUUCAACACGUGGGAGAUAUAGCCGCAUCGAGGGUGUUACAAGUUGCUAUCAGAGCCUUCCCCGACCUUAGGAGCCCCAUUGCUUGAUCAUUAUUAGCAGCCGUUGUUGAGUCUAGAAAUUUUUUUUUGAGUCAUUUAGGAAUUAUAUAUCAGAGAGUUUAGGAAUUCUUUUUACUCCCCAGUCCCUUCAUCGCUCUGGUAAGGCAUCCCGACGUAGAGUUUUAUCUCUUCUCUUCUGAAAUUUCACUAUUUUUUUAGGAUCACGCGGGUAUCUUAGAA